Molecule: non-coding RNA, 527 nt
Organism: Myodes glareolus (Bank vole)
Lineage: Eukaryota; Metazoa; Chordata; Mammalia; Rodentia; Cricetidae
Source: the annotation of a RefSeq genome assembly
UAAGAAUCAAGAACAUCGUCUGGAUGCCACUAAAGAUGGACUCUUCCCCAGUCUUCGUUACUGCGAUACUCCUCCUACUCACAAGGACCCAUGGAGACUCAGUGACACAGACGGAAGGUCAAGUGACCCUCUCGGAAGAGGACUUUCUUACUAUACACUGCAAAUAUUCAGCCUCAGGGUAUCCACCCCUGUUCUGGUAUGUGCAGUAUCCUGGAGAAGGUCCACAGCUUCUCUUCAGAGCCUCGAAGGACAACGAGAAGAAAAGUAGCAGAGGCUUUGAAGCCACAUAUGAUAAAGGAUCCAGCUCCUUCCACUUGCAGAAAGCCUCGGUCCAGGAGUCAGACUCGGCUGUGUACUACUGUGCUCUGGGUGGCACAGUAGUGGAAACCACAGGGGGAGCUGAACACAAACUCAUCACCAGGGGCCUGACUGCUGAGUUCCUGCCUCUGGGAUUGCUUUGGUUCCUCUGUGUUGUGUGCCUCUCCAUUUCUCUGGUUUGCACAAAAUCAUAUGGAUAGCCACAGCAG